Molecule: ribosomal RNA, 301 nt
Filed under: uncultured bacterium
Lineage: Bacteria
Description: partial 16S ribosomal RNA
Rfam family: Bacterial small subunit ribosomal RNA
Source: RNAcentral
CAGCAGCCGCGGGAAUACCGAGGGUGCAAGCGUUAAUCGGAAUUACUGGGCGUAAAGGGCGCGUAGGCGGCCAUUCAAGUUAGAUGUGAAAGCCCUGGGCUCAACCUAGGAAUUGCAUUUGAUACUGUUUGGCUUGAGUUCGGGAGAGGUGAGUGGAAUUCCCAGUGUAGAGGUGAAAUUUGUAGAUAUUGGGAAGAACACCAGUGGCGAAGGCGGCUCACUGGACCGACACUGACGCUGAGGCGCGAAAGCGUGGGGAGCAAACAGGAUUAGAUACCCGAGUAGUCCCUGUCUCUUAUAC